Molecule: long non-coding RNA, 375 nt
Organism: Phacochoerus africanus (Common warthog)
Lineage: Eukaryota; Metazoa; Chordata; Mammalia; Artiodactyla; Suidae
Exons: 3
Source: RefSeq, a predicted model, not a curated record
GACUGGGUGGGGAUGCUGGCGUGGCGGCUGUGCUGCCAGGACAGUAACAGGCCGGGGAAUUCAGACCUCGGCCUUUCUGAGAUGCUGGAGAGAGGCAAGCGUGGAGGUGGGGAGAGGUGGCCAAGAGGCUGCCGAGGGAGCAACUCACAUAAGCUACAAGUGGAGAGGAAGCAGGGCCUCCAACCAAUGUCCUUUUAAGGCCCUCUGGAGAAAGGAUUGUUCUGGUGAGGUCGCUGGAGAUGGCAGAGGAACAGCGAUGAGGAAAGAAGGGCUUGCAAAAGAAGUGAUCUUUACUCCAAUACCACUUUGUCUUGAUUACUGCAGCCUGAAACCAUGUAGUGUAAGUCCUCUAACUUUGUUCUUUUUAAACAUUAU